Molecule: unclassified non-coding RNA, 224 nt
Filed under: Hevea brasiliensis (rubber tree)
Lineage: Eukaryota; Viridiplantae; Streptophyta; Magnoliopsida; Malpighiales; Euphorbiaceae
Source: RNAcentral
GCCAUAUUUUGAGAACUGAGAGUAGGCAUAUCUAGUCCAAGGCCCUAGACUUGGACAUUUGAGCAGCAUCAGCAGGAGUUAAACCCAUUCUUAAUUUCUCAUCGAGGAACAGGUUACAGUUCCUAUCCUGCUUGCAAAUUUAACUUCAGUGACGGACUGAUAGGUGAUUUCUCUUUGCUAUUUGCCUAUUUGUUAUCAAUUCCAUACUUCAAGAACAGAGAUUG